RNAcentral lists this ribosomal RNA (497 nucleotides) under uncultured bacterium. RNAcentral describes it as "partial 16S ribosomal RNA". It matches the Rfam family "Bacterial small subunit ribosomal RNA", at positions 28 to 507 of the family's 1533-position model. The record is from RNAcentral.
GAUGAACGCUGGCGGCGUGCCUAAUACAUGCAAGUCGAGCGAACAGACGAGGAGCUUGCUCCUCUGACGUUAGCGGCGGACGGGUGAGUAACACGUGGAUAACCUACCUAUAAGACUGGGAUAACUUCGGGAAACCGGGGCUAAUACCGGAUAAUAUAUUGAACCGCAUGGUUCAAUAGUGAAAGACGGUUUUGCUGUCACUUAUAGAUGGAUCCGCGCCGCAUUAGCUAGUUGGUAAGGUAACGGCUUACCAAGGCAACGAUGCGUAGCCGACCUGAGAGGGUGAUCGCGCACACUGGAACUGAGACACGGUCCAGACUCCUACGGGAGGCAGCAGUAGGGAAUCUUCCGCAAUGGGCGAAAGCCUGACGGAGCAACGCCGCGUGAGUGAUGAAGGUCUUCGGAUCGUAAAACUCUGUUAUUAGGGAAGAACAAAUGUGUAAGUAACUAUGCACGUCUUGACGGUACCUAAUCAGAAAGCCACGGCUAACUACGUG